AACGAACGCUGGCGGCAUGCCUAACACAUGCAAGUCGAACGAUGCCUUCGGGCAUAGUGGCGCACGGGUGCGUAACGCGUGGGAAUCUGCCCUUGGCUUCGGAAUAACAGUUAGAAAUGACUGCUAAUACCGGAUGAUGUCCCCCUGAGAGAUCUUGGGGACCAAAGAUUUAUCGGCCAGGGAUGAGCCCGCGUAGGAUUAGGUAGUUGGUGGGGUAAAGGCCUACCAAGCCGACGAUCCUUAGCUGGUCUGAGAGGAUGAUCAGCCACACUGGGACUGAGACACGGCCCAGACUCCUACGGGAGGCAGCAGUGGGGAAUAUUGGACAAUGGGGGGAACCCUGAUCAAGCAAUGCCGCGUGAGUGAUGAAGGCCUUAGGGUUGUAAAGCUCUUUUACCAGGGAUGAUAAUGACAGUACCUGGAGAAUAAGCACCGGCUAACUCCGUG
RNAcentral lists this ribosomal RNA (447 nucleotides) under uncultured bacterium. RNAcentral's name for it is "partial 16S ribosomal RNA". It matches the Rfam family "Bacterial small subunit ribosomal RNA", at positions 29 to 507 of the family's 1533-position model. The record is from RNAcentral.